GUGCCAGCCGCCGCGGUAAUACGGAGGGUGCAAGCGUUAUCCGGAUUCACUGGGUUUAAAGGGUGCGUAGGUGGAUUAGUAAGUCAGUGGUGAAAUCUCCGGGCUUAACCCGGAAACUGCCAUUGAUACUAUUAGUCUUGAAUACCGUGGAGGUCAGCGGAAUAUGUCAUGUAGCGGUGAAAUGCUUAGAUAUGACAUAGAACACCAAUUGCGAAGGCAGCUGGCUACACGAAUAUUGACACUCAGGCACGAAAGCGUGGGGAUCAAACAGGAUUAGAUACCCUAGUAGUCC
This 292-nucleotide ribosomal RNA is filed under the name uncultured bacterium. Its description in RNAcentral is "partial 16S ribosomal RNA". It matches the Rfam family "Bacterial small subunit ribosomal RNA", at positions 505 to 796 of the family's 1533-position model. The record is from RNAcentral.